UAUGGUCACAUCAUGUUGAAACAUCAGUUCCCAUAUGAUCACUGAAGUUAAGCAAUGUUGAGCCUGGUCAGUACCUAAAUGAGUGACUGCUUGGGAAUACCAGAUGCUGUAAG
RNAcentral lists this ribosomal RNA (113 nucleotides) under Acanthosepion pharaonis. Lineage: Eukaryota; Metazoa; Mollusca; Cephalopoda; Sepiida; Sepiidae. The record is from RNAcentral.